RNAcentral lists this ribosomal RNA (433 nucleotides) under uncultured bacterium. RNAcentral describes it as "partial 16S ribosomal RNA". It matches the Rfam family "Bacterial small subunit ribosomal RNA", at positions 29 to 507 of the family's 1533-position model. The record is from RNAcentral.
AACGAACGCUGGCGGCAUGCCUAACACAUGCAAGUCGAACGAGACCUUCGGGUCUAGUGGCGCACGGGUGCGUAACGCGUGGGAACCUGCCCUUAGGUUCGGAAUAACUCCCCGAAAGGGGUGCUAAUACCGGAUAAUGUCUUCGGACCAAAGAUCUAUCGCCUUUGGAUGGGCCCGCGUUGGAUUAGCUAGUUGGUAGGGUAAAAGCCUACCAAGGCGACGAUCCAUAGCUGGUCUGAGAGGAUGAUCAGCCACACUGGGACUGAGACACGGCCCAGACUCCUACGGGAGGCAGCAGUGGGGGAUAUUGGACAAUGGGCGAAAGCCUGAUCCAGCAAUGCCGCGUGAGUGAUGAAGGCCUUAGGGUUGUAAAGCUCUUUUACCCGGGAUGAUAAUGACAGUACCGGGAGAAUAAGCUCCGGCUAACUCCGUG